AUUGAACGCUGGCGGCAUGCCUUACACAUGCAAGUCGAACGGUAACGGGUCCUUCGGGAUGCCGACGAGUGGCGAACGGGUGAGUAAUAUACCGGAACGGGCCCAGUAGUGGGGGAUAACUGCUCGAAAGAGAAGCUAAUACCGCAUACGACCUGAGGGUAGAAGGGGGGGAUCGCAAGACCUCCCGCUAUUGGCUCGGGCGAAAUAAGAUUAGCUAGUUGGUGGGGUAAAGGCCUACCAAGGAAAAGAUCAGUAGUUGGUCUGAGAGGAGGACCAGCCACACUGGGACUGAGACACGGCCCAGACUCCUACGGGAGGCAGCAGUGGGGAAUUUUGGACAAUGGGCGCAAGCCUGAUCCAGCAAUGCCGCGUGCAGGAAGAAGGCCUUCGGGUUGUAAACUGCUUUUGUCAGGGAAGAAAUCUUCUGGGCUAAUACCCCGGGAGGAUGACGGUACCUGAAGAAUAAGCACCGGCUAACUACGUGCCAGCCGCCGCGGUAA
This 500-nucleotide ribosomal RNA is filed under the name uncultured bacterium. RNAcentral's name for it is "partial 16S ribosomal RNA". It matches the Rfam family "Bacterial small subunit ribosomal RNA", at positions 29 to 523 of the family's 1533-position model. The record is from RNAcentral.